GUAUGCAAUCUACCUUUCACAGAGGGAUAGCCCAGAGAAAUUUGGAUUAAUACCUCAUAGUAUAGCAGUUUCGCAUGAAACCACUAUUAAAGUCACAACGGUGAAAGAUGAGCAUGCGUCCCAUUAGCUAGUUGGUAAGGUAACGGCUUACCAAGGCAACGAUGGGUAGGGGUCCUGAGAGGGAGAUCCCCCACACUGGUACUGAGACACGGACCAGACUCCUACGGGAGGCAGCAGUGAGGAAUAUUGGACAAUGGGCGCAAGCCUGAUCCAGCCAUGCCGCGUGCAGGAUGACGGUCCUAUGGAUUGUAAACUGCUUUUAUACGAGAAGAAACCCUCCGACGUGUCGGAGCUUGACGGUAUCGUAAGAAUAAGGAUCGGCUAACUCCGUGCCAGCAGCCGCGGUAAUACGGAGGAUCCAAGCGUUAUCCGGAAUCAUUGGGUUUAAAGGGUCCGUAGGCGGUCAGGUAAGUCAGUGGUGAAAGCCCAUCGCUCAACGGUGGAACGGCCAUUGAUACUGUCUGACUUGAAUUAUUAGGAAGUAACUAGAAUAUGUAGUGUAGCGGUGAAAUGCUUAGAGAUUACAUGGAAUACCAAUUGCG
RNAcentral lists this ribosomal RNA (602 nucleotides) under Flavobacterium sp. B481_2. RNAcentral describes it as "bacterial SSU rRNA". It matches the Rfam family "Bacterial small subunit ribosomal RNA", at positions 117 to 717 of the family's 1533-position model. The record is from RNAcentral. Lineage: Bacteria; Pseudomonadati; Bacteroidota; Flavobacteriia; Flavobacteriales; Flavobacteriaceae.